This 188-nucleotide non-coding RNA is filed under the name Pontibacillus marinus. RNAcentral's name for it is "Lysine sequence". It matches the Rfam family "Lysine riboswitch aptamer". From Rfam's summary of the family: Riboswitches are metabolite binding domains within certain messenger RNAs that serve as precision sensors for their corresponding targets. Allosteric rearrangement of mRNA structure is mediated by ligand binding, and this results in modulation of gene expression. This family includes riboswitches that sense lysine in a number of genes involved in lysine metabolism, including lysC. RNAcentral also lists the same sequence under 1 other name. The record is from RNAcentral. Lineage: Bacteria; Bacillati; Bacillota; Bacilli; Caryophanales; Bacillaceae.
CGAUGAGGUAGAGGUGCAUUUAGCAUGAAUACCCUAUGGGAGGAUGACAACGAGGAUCAUAGGGGGAAAGGGCUACUUGCCGAAGUAUAAAAUAGGUGUCUACCUACUUAUGCUGGUAUGUUCUUGAAUAAAGAAUAUACUGUCAUGCAAAUCUGAACGUAUGGAUUGCAUGAUGCGCUACUGAUCGA